This 1723-nucleotide ribosomal RNA is filed under the name Salmonella enterica. RNAcentral's name for it is "partial 23S ribosomal RNA". It matches the Rfam family "Bacterial large subunit ribosomal RNA", at positions 1216 to 2915 of the family's 2925-position model. Lineage: Bacteria; Pseudomonadati; Pseudomonadota; Gammaproteobacteria; Enterobacterales; Enterobacteriaceae. The record is from RNAcentral.
UAGUGUUGUUGGGUAGGGGAGCGUUCUGUAAGCCGUUGAAGGUGUCCUGUGAGGGGUGCUGGAGGUAUCAGAAGUGCGAAUGCUGACAUAAGUAACGAUAAAGCGGGUGAAAAGCCCGCUCGCCGGAAGACCAAGGGUUCCUGUCCAACGUUAAUCGGGGCAGGGUGAGUCGACCCCUAAGGCGAGGCCGAAAGGCGUAGUCGAUGGGAAACGGGUUAAUAUUCCCGUACUUGGUGUUACUGCGAAGGGGGGACGGAGAAGGCUAUGUUGGCCGGGCGACGGUAGUCCCGGUUUAAGCGUGUAGGUGUGUGUUCCAGGCAAAUCCGGUUCACUUUAACACUGAGGCGUGAUGACGAGGCACCACGGUGCUGAAGCAACAAAUGCCCUGCUUCCAGGAAAAGCCUCUAAGCAUCAGGUAACAUCAAAUCGUACCCCAAACCGACACAGGUGGUCAGGUAGAGAAUACCAAGGCGCUUGAGAGAACUCGGGUGAAGGAACUAGGCAAAAUGGUGCCGUAACUUCGGGAGAAGGCACGCUGACACGUAGGUGAAGUGAUUUACUCACGGAGCUGAAGUCAGUCGAAGAUACCAGCUGGCUGCAACUGUUUAUUAAAAACACAGCACUGUGCAAACACGAAAGUGGACGUAUACGGUGUGACGCCUGCCCGGUGCCGGAAGGUUAAUUGAUGGGGUCAGCGCAAGCGAAGCUCCUGAUCGAAGCCCCGGUAAACGGCGGCCGUAACUAUAACGGUCCUAAGGUAGCGAAAUUCCUUGUCGGGUAAGUUCCGACCUGCACGAAUGGCGUAAUGAUGGCCAGGCUGUCUCCACCCGAGACUCAGUGAAAUUGAACUCGCUGUGAAGAUGCAGUGUACCCGCGGCAAGACGGAAAGACCCCGUGAACCUUUACUAUAGCUUGACACUGAACAUUGAGCCUUGAUGUGUAGGAUAGGUGGGAGGCUUUGAAGCGUGGACGCCAGUCUGCGUGGAGCCGACCUUGAAAUACCACCCUUUAAUGUUUGAUGUUCUAACGUGGACCCGUAAUCCGGGUUGCGGACAGUGUCUGGUGGGUAGUUUGACUGGGGCGGUCUCCUCCUAAAGAGUAACGGAGGAGCACGAAGGUUGGCUAAUCCUGGUCGGACAUCAGGAGGUUAGUGCAAUGGCAUAAGCCAGCUUGACUGCGAGCGUGACGGCGCGAGCAGGUGCGAAAGCAGGUCAUAGUGAUCCGGUGGUUCUGAAUGGAAGGGCCAUCGCUCAACGGAUAAAAGGUACUCCGGGGAUAACAGGCUGAUACCGCCCAAGAGUUCAUAUCGACGGCGGUGUUUGGCACCUCGAUGUCGGCUCAUCACAUCCUGGGGCUGAAGUAGGUCCCAAGGGUAUGGCUGUUCGCCAUUUAAAGUGGUACGCGAGCUGGGUUUAGAACGUCGUGAGACAGUUCGGUCCCUAUCUGCCGUGGGCGCUGGAGAAUUGAGGGGGGCUGCUCCUAGUACGAGAGGACCGGAGUGGACGCAUCACUGGUGUUCGGGUUGUCAUGCCAAUGGCACUGCCCGGUAGCUAAAUGCGGAAAAGAUAAGUGCUGAAAGCAUCUAAGCACGAAACUUGCCCCGAGAUGAGUUCUCCCUGAGACUUUGAGUCUCCUGAAGGAACGUUAAAGACGAUGACGUUGAUAGGCCGGGUGUGUAAGCGCAGCGAUGCGUUGAGCUAACCGGUACUAAUGAACCGUGAGG